RNAcentral lists this ribosomal RNA (460 nucleotides) under uncultured bacterium. RNAcentral's name for it is "partial 16S ribosomal RNA". It matches the Rfam family "Bacterial small subunit ribosomal RNA", at positions 338 to 795 of the family's 1533-position model. The record is from RNAcentral.
CCUACGGGAGGCAGCAGUGAGGAAUAUUGGUCAAUGGGCGGAAGCCUGAACCAGCCAAGUAGCGUGCAGGAUGACGGCCCUACGGGUUGUAAACUGCUUUUAUACGGGAAUAAAGUGCCUUACGUGUAGGGCUUUGCAUGUACCGUAUGAAUAAGGACCGGCUAAGUCCGUGCCAGCAGCCGCGGUAAUACGGAAGGUCCGGGCGUUAUCCGGAUUUAUUGGGUUUAAAGGGAGCGUAGGCGGCAUGUCAAGCGUGCUGUGAAAGGUCCGGGCUCAACCCGGGCCUUGCAGCGGAAACUGGCGUGCUUGAGUCGGCGGGAGGUAGGCGGAAUGCGUGGUGUAGCGGUGAAAUGCUUAGAUAUGACGAAGAACCCCGAUUGCGAAGGCAGCUUGCUGCAGCGGAACUGACGCUGAUGCUCGAAAGCGCGGGUAUCGAACAGGAUUAGAUACCCUUGUAGUC